AUGGAGAUGGAGCCGACCGGCCCGAGUACCAAGAGGAUGAGACCCGCGCCACCCGACAUCCACCAAUCGACGCCAGGUCCAGCGGAAACGACCGACCCGGAAGCCACGGCCGCGGGGAGAACCCAACACCCGCCGCCGGGAGCCGGGAGAGAUGGCGGCGAGGGAUCGCCGGACCGCAUCAGCGAUCUUCCCGACGCGGUCCUCGUCGAGAUAAUCUUCCUCCUCCCCACCAAGGAGGGCGCCCGCACCCAAGCCCUCGCGUCCCGGUGGCGCCACCUCUGGCGCGCCGCCCCUCUCAACCUCGACUGCCUUGGCCUCCCCGGCAACCUCCCCGGCGCCAUACUCUCCGCCCACGGGGGCCCCGUCCACCGCCUCUGCCUCCCGUCGCUCCCCCUCCCUGGACAGGCUCCAGGAGCUCGAGUUCUACCUGGAGCUGCCAAUAACAUACAGAUUUUCGUUCUCAAGGUUACAGCUGCUGCAACCACCAACGGCGUCCAUCUUCAGGUUCUCGUGCACUCUCCGCGUCGCCACCGUCAGCCAGUGCCAUCUCCCGGACAAUACUGUGGAGACGCUUCAGUUUCCCCUGCUCAAGAAGCUUGCGCUGGUGGAGGUCAAAAUCUCGGAGGGCUCGCUGCAGAGCAUCAUCGCCUCCGGCUGUUCUGCCCUGGAAAGCUUGUUGCUCAGGACUAG
RNAcentral lists this ribosomal RNA (690 nucleotides) under Triticum aestivum (bread wheat). RNAcentral's name for it is "partial small subunit ribosomal RNA". The record is from RNAcentral. Lineage: Eukaryota; Viridiplantae; Streptophyta; Magnoliopsida; Poales; Poaceae.